UGGGGAAUAUUGGACAAUGGGGGCAACCCUGAUCCAGCCAUGCCGCGUGUGUGAAGAAGGCCUUUUGGUUGUAAAGCACUUUAAGCAGGGAGGAGAGGCUAAUGGUUAAUACCCAUUAGAUUAGACGUUACCUGCAGAAUAAGCACCGGCUAACUCUGUGCCAGCAGCCGCGGUAAUACAGAGGGUGCGAGCGUUAAUCGGAAUUACUGGGCGUAAAGCGAGUGUAGGUGGCUCAUUAAGUCACAUGUGAAAUCCCCGGGCUUAACCUGGGAACUGCAUGUGAUACUGGUGGUGCUAGAAUAUGUGAGAGGGAAGUAGAAUUCCAGGUGUAGCGGUGAAAUGCGUAGAGAUCUGGAGGAAUACCGAUGGCGAAGGCAGCUUCCUGGCAUAAUAUUGACACUGAGAUUCGAAAGCGUGGGUAGCAAACAGGAUUAGAUACCCUGGUAGUCCACGCCGUAAAACGAUGUCUACUAGCCGUUGGGGUCCUUGAGACUUUAGUGGCGCAGUUAACGCGAUAAGUAGACCGCCU
Molecule: ribosomal RNA, 529 nt
Filed under: uncultured bacterium
Lineage: Bacteria
Description: partial 16S ribosomal RNA
Rfam family: Bacterial small subunit ribosomal RNA
Source: RNAcentral